RNAcentral lists this ribosomal RNA (537 nucleotides) under fungal endophyte. RNAcentral's name for it is "eukaryotic LSU rRNA". The stretch from base 164 to 317 matches the Rfam family "5.8S ribosomal RNA". Lineage: Eukaryota; Fungi. The record is from RNAcentral.
CGCUCUAUAACCCUUUGUGAACAUACCUAUAACUGUUGCUUCGGCGGGUAGGGUCUCCGCGACCCUCCCGGCCUCCCGCCUCCGGGCGGGUCGGCGCCCGCCGGAGGAUAACCAAACUCUGAUUUAACGACGUUUCUUCUGAGUGGUACAAGCAAAUAAUCAAAACUUUUAACAACGGAUCUCUUGGUUCUGGCAUCGAUGAAGAACGCAGCGAAAUGCGAUAAGUAAUGUGAAUUGCAGAAUUCAGUGAAUCAUCGAAUCUUUGAACGCACAUUGCGCCCGCCAGCAUUCUGGCGGGCAUGCCUGUUCGAGCGUCAUUUCAACCCUCAAGCUCUGCUUGGUGUUGGGGCCCUACAGCUGAUGUAGGCCCUCAAAGGUAGUGGCGGACCCUCCCGGAGCCUCCUUUGCGUAGUAACUUUACGUCUCGCACUGGGAUCCGGAGGGACUCUUGCCGUAAAACCCCCCAAUUUUCCAAAGGUUGACCUCGGAUCAGGUAGGAAUACCCGCUGAACUUAAGCAUAUCAAUAAGCGGAGGAA